CUUUAAGAUCCAGUUGCGGUUUAA
RNAcentral lists this unclassified non-coding RNA (24 nucleotides) under Arabidopsis thaliana (thale cress). The record is from RNAcentral. Lineage: Eukaryota; Viridiplantae; Streptophyta; Magnoliopsida; Brassicales; Brassicaceae.